This 301-nucleotide ribosomal RNA is filed under the name uncultured bacterium. RNAcentral describes it as "partial 16S ribosomal RNA". It matches the Rfam family "Bacterial small subunit ribosomal RNA", at positions 509 to 807 of the family's 1533-position model. The record is from RNAcentral.
CAGCAGCCGCGGGAAUACGAAGGGGGCUAGCGUUGCUCGGAAUUACUGGGCGUAAAGCGUGCGCAGGCGGUUAUGCAAGACAGAGGUGAAAUCCCCGGGCUCAACCUGGGAACUGCCUUUGUGACUGCAUAGCUAGAGUGCGGCAGAGGGGGAUGGAAUUCCGCGUGUAGCAGUGAAAUGCGUAGAUAUGCGGAGGAACACCGAUGGCGAAGGCAAUCCCCUGGGCCUGCACUGACGCUCAUGCACGAAAGCGUGGGGAGCAAACAGGAUUAGAUACCCCAGUAGUCCCUGUCUCUUAUAC